UACGUAGGGGGCGAGCGUUGUCCGGAUUUACUGGGCGUAAAGCGCGUGUAGGCGGCCGGAUAAGUCGGGUGUGAAAGCCCGGGGCUCAACCCCGGGAUGCCGCCCGAGACUGCUCGGCUUGAGGACGGAAGAGGGGCGUGGAAUUCCUGGUGUAGCGGUGAAAUGCGUAGAUAUCUGGAGGAACACCGGUGGCGAAGGCGGCAUCCUGGACCGACACUGACGCUGAGGAGCGAAAGCCAGGGGAGCAAACGGG
Molecule: ribosomal RNA, 253 nt
Filed under: uncultured bacterium
Lineage: Bacteria
Description: partial 16S ribosomal RNA
Rfam family: Bacterial small subunit ribosomal RNA
Source: RNAcentral